This is an RNA transcript of Benincasa hispida (wax gourd), 1211 nucleotides long. RefSeq lists it as uncharacterized. NCBI's taxonomy places the organism in Eukaryota, Viridiplantae, Streptophyta, Magnoliopsida, Cucurbitales, Cucurbitaceae. The record is from RefSeq and is a predicted model, not a curated record.
UCUCUCUCUUUCAUUUCAUUACCUUUCUUCUCUCUCCUUUCUCACUUCUCUCUUACAAAUCCUCUCUUCCCCUCGAGUGUACCAAUCAUCUCUGGCGUUCGUGGGUUGUCAUUGUGUCGUCCACAUGCAGAUCUAAUGUUUGUGGGUUGUCGUCUGUCGUUCUCGUGCAGAUCCGGCGUUCCCGUGCAGAUCUUGUUGUGCAGAUCGCGUUUUGCGUGUAGAUCCGGCCGUCCAGAUCACGUGCAAAUCUGACCGUGCAGAUCCGGCGUUUGCGGGUUCAUCUUCCUCGUGAAAAUGUCGCCUCACUUCCUUUGGAACCAGAUGCCACAAUCGGAGUCCGACGACAGCCACACCAGAAGUCGGAUGCCAUGCCGCGAUCGAGAGCACUCAUAAUCAGGUUCACCGCACGUCAGACGCAUGUCCAGCUUUGGGUUCGCGCUGCCGUGGGUUUUUGCUUUAGGCUUUAAGUUUGUUCUGGGUGCAAGUAGUCAAUCGCAUCUCCUCAUCCGCCGCCGUUUCGUGAGGUCGCCACCGGUGGAUCAUCAGCUGUGCCAGCUGGUGAGUUGUAAGGUUAGGAUCGGAGGUUUCAACCAAUUUUCGGCAACUGUCCAGUAGUUAAUAGUCGUGUGGGAGAACUUUCAGUAAGGGAAAAAAUGGUCUUGUCUUGCUAAGCGUUGUGUGUUUCUUGGGAUGUUGUGUCUUUGAUCUGGUUAUGUGUUCGUGCUUAGGUGUGGGCUGUUUUGAUGAAGUUGAAGAUCAGAAUUAAGACUAAGGGCAGAGGUUUCCAAGUGUACUGAGCUGAUGGAACAAAGACAAAGUGGAGAGGGAAAGUAACAUUGGCGAGGAAGUUGGGUGGUCAAAAAAUGUAGAAGUGGCAAAAGUGAAUCCAAAACUUGCAACAAUGAACAAGAAAUUCAGGAUGAUUCAUGGCUUGCCAUCUUUUGCUAAUAUCCUGGCAUUUGGUAGUCUUGCAAUGCACUCAUGGUAUUUGGUGGGAGAAUAGUCCCUAGCUCCAGAAAUUGACAUCAGAAAACUUGGGAAGACAUCGUCGAAUACUAUUCAUUUAUCUUCAACUUAUUUUUAAUCAUUCUAACCAUUUUGUAAUUCAUUUAUUUUGAAUGCUAUUCUUGUGUGCAACUUAGCAUAUCUACUCUACUUGUUCAAUGUAUAAUAUAUAUGUAUACUUCAUAGUUGAUAAAUUGGAAUUUGCU